CCUACGGGAGGCAGCAGUGAGGAAUAUUGGUCAAUGGACGAGAGUCUGAACCAGCCAAGUAGCGUGAAGGAUGACUGCCCUAUGGGUUGUAAACUUCUUUUAUAUGGGAAUAAAAUGUUCCACGUGUGGGUUUUUGUAUGUACCAUAUGAAUAAGGAUCGGCUAACUCCGUGCCAGCAGCCGCGGUAAUACGGAGGAUCCGAGCGUUAUCCGGAUUUAUUGGGUUUAAAGGGAGCGUAGGUGGGUUGUUAAGUCAGUUGUGAAAGUUUGCGGCUCAACCGUAAAAUUGCAGUUGAAACUGGCAGUCUUGAGUACAGUAGAGGUGGGCGGAAUUCGUGGUGUAGCGGUGAAAUGCUUAGAUAUCACGAAGAACUCCGAUUGCGAAGGCAGCUCACUAAACUGCAACUGACACUGAUGCUCGAAAGUGUGGGUAUCAAACAGGAUUAGAUACCCUUGUAGUC
This 460-nucleotide ribosomal RNA is filed under the name uncultured bacterium. RNAcentral's name for it is "partial 16S ribosomal RNA". It matches the Rfam family "Bacterial small subunit ribosomal RNA", at positions 338 to 795 of the family's 1533-position model. The record is from RNAcentral.